AUUGAACGCUGGCGGCAUGCUUUACACAUGCAAGUCGAACGGUAACAGGUUAAGCUGACGAGUGGCGAACGGGUGAGUAAUGCAUCGGAACGUGCCCGAUCGUGGGGGAUGACACUUCGAAAGAAGUGCUAAUACCGCAUACGAUCUGAGGAUGAAAGCGGGGGACCGUAAGGCCUCGCGCGAUCGGAGCGGCCGAUGUCAGAUUAGGUAGUUGGUGGGGUAAAGGCUCACCAAGCCGACGAUCUGUAGCUGGUCUGAGAGGACGACCAGCCACACUGGGACUGAGACACGGCCCAGACUCCUACGGGAGGCAGCAGUGGGGAAUUUUGGACAAUGGGCGCAAGCCUGAUCCAGCAAUGCCGCGUGCAGGAAGAAGGCCUUCGGGUUGUAAACUGCUUUUGUACGGAGCGAAAAGGCUCCCUCUAAUACAGGGGGCUCAUGACGGUACCGUAAGAAUAAGCACCGGCUAACUACGUGCCAGCAGCCGCGGUAA
RNAcentral lists this ribosomal RNA (493 nucleotides) under uncultured bacterium. RNAcentral describes it as "partial 16S ribosomal RNA". It matches the Rfam family "Bacterial small subunit ribosomal RNA", at positions 30 to 523 of the family's 1533-position model. The record is from RNAcentral.